AUCCGCACGAGCGCACCCCCACCAUUAGUUGCCAUCAGUUCGGCUGGGCACUCUAGUGGGACUGCCGGUGCUAANCCGGAGGAGGGUGGGGAUGACGCCAAGUCCUCAUGGCCUUUAUGUCCAGGGCCACUCACGUGCUACAAUGGUCGGUACAGAGGGUCGCGAAACCGCGAGGUGGAGCCAAUCCCACAAAGCCGGCCUUAGUUCGGAUUGGAGUCUGCAAUUCGACUCCAUGAAGGUGGAAUCGCUAGUAAUCGCGNAUCAGNAUGCCGCGGUGAAUACGUUCCCGGGCCUUGUACACACCGCCCGUCACACCAUGGGAGUGGNCUGCAAAAGAAGUGGAUAGCUUAACCUUCGGGAGGNCGUUCACCACUUUGUGGUUCAUGACUGGGGUGAAGUCGUAACAAGGUAGCCGUAGGGGAACCUGCGGCUGGAUCACCUCCUU
Molecule: ribosomal RNA, 445 nt
Filed under: uncultured Gammaproteobacteria bacterium
Lineage: Bacteria; Pseudomonadati; Pseudomonadota; Gammaproteobacteria
Description: bacterial SSU rRNA
Rfam family: Bacterial small subunit ribosomal RNA
Source: RNAcentral